This is a long non-coding RNA of Lates calcarifer (barramundi perch), 1022 nucleotides long. RefSeq lists it as uncharacterized. The record is from RefSeq and is a predicted model, not a curated record. NCBI's taxonomy places the organism in Eukaryota, Metazoa, Chordata, Actinopteri, Centropomidae. The transcript is spliced from 3 exons.
GAUCACAAAGACAUUGUCCAUGAUCACAGAGACUUUGUCCAUAAUCUCAGAGACAUUGUCCGCGAUCACAGAGACGUAGUCCACGAUCACAGAGUCUUUGUACAAUGAAGAAGUUCUUUGAGACCAGGACAGAGUCCUUCAGGUGUCACCACUUCGUCCACAACAUUGCCCACGAUCGCAGAGACUUCGUCCAUGAUCGGAGAGACAUUGUUGAGGAUGAGGGAGACAUCGUCCACGAUCAGAGACAUUGCCCGUGAUCGCAGAGACCUUGUCAAAGAUGAGAGAGACGUUGUCCUUGAUCAGAGACAUUGUCCCCUGCUUCGUAGAGACCUUGCGAUAGAAUCGGCGGAGACUGGGGUCACCGAUUUGACGGCAUUGCCCGCGAUCAGGGACAUUGUCGAUGGUCACAGAGACACCGUCUAUGAUCUCAGAGACAUCGUCCACGAUCACAAAGACAUUGUCCAUGAUCACAGAGACUUUGUCCAUAAUCUCAGAGACAUUGUCCGCGAUCACAGAGACGUAGUCCACGAUCACAGAGUCUUUGUACAAUGAAGAAGUUCUUUGAGACCAGGACAGAGUCCUUCAGGUGUCACCACUUCGUCCACAACAUUGCCCACGAUCGCAGAGACUUCGUCCAUGAUCGGAGAGACAUUGUUGAGGAUGAGGGAGACAUCGUCCACGAUCAGAGACAUUGCCCGUGAUCGCAGAGACCUUGUCAAAGAUGAGAGAGACGUUGUCCUUGAUCAGAGACAUUGUCCCCUGCUUCGUAGAGACCUUGCGAUAGAAUCGGCGGAGACGGGGGUCACCGAUUUGACGGCAUUGCCCGCGAUCAGGGACAUUGUCGAUGGUCACAGAGACACCAUCUAUGAUCUCAGAGACAUCGUCCACGAUCACAAAAACAUUGUCCAUGAUCAAGAGACUUUGUCCAUAAUCUCAGAGACAUUGUCCGCGAUCACAGAGACGUAGUCCACGAUCACAGAGUCUUUGUACAAUGAAGAAGUUCUUUGAGACCAGGACAGAGG